UACGGAAGGCAGCAGUGGGGAAUAUUGGACAAUGGGCGAAAGCCUGAUCCAGCCAUGCCGCAUGAGUGAAGAAGGCCUUCGGGUUGUAAAGCUCUUUUAGUGAGAAAGAAUAAUGACGGUACUCACAGAAGAAGUCCUGGCUAACUCCGUGCCAGCAGCCGCGGUAAUACGGAGAGGGCUAGCGUUAAUCAGAAUUACUGGGCGUAAAGAGCACGUAGGUGGUUUUUUUAAGUCAGAUGUGAAAUCCCUGGGCUUAACCUAGGAACUGCAUUUUGAAACUGAAAUACUAGAGUAUCGUAGAGGGAGGUAGAAUUCUAGGUGUAGCGGUGAAAUGCGUAGAUAUCUGGAGGAAUACCUGUGGCGAAAGCGGCCUCCUAAACGAAUACUGACACUGAGGGUGCGAAAGCGUGGGGAGCAAACAGGGAUUAGAUACC
Molecule: ribosomal RNA, 434 nt
Filed under: uncultured bacterium
Lineage: Bacteria
Description: bacterial SSU rRNA
Rfam family: Bacterial small subunit ribosomal RNA
Source: RNAcentral